This 340-nucleotide ribosomal RNA is filed under the name Clostridioides difficile. Its description in RNAcentral is "bacterial SSU rRNA". It matches the Rfam family "Bacterial small subunit ribosomal RNA", at positions 1203 to 1533 of the family's 1533-position model. Lineage: Bacteria; Bacillati; Bacillota; Clostridia; Peptostreptococcales; Peptostreptococcaceae. The record is from RNAcentral.
UAUGCUUAGGGCUACAGACGUGCUACAAUGGGUAGUACAGAGGGUUGCCAAGCCGUAAGGUGGAGCUAAUCCCUUAAAGCUACUCUCAGUUCGGAUUGUAGGCUGAAACUCGCCUACAUGAAGCUGGAGUUACUAGUAAUCGCAGAUCAGAAUGCUGCGGGGAAUGCGUUCCCGGGUCUUGUACACACCGCCCGUCACACCACGGGAGUUGGAGACGCCCGAAGCCGAUUAUCUAACCUUUUGGAAGAAGUCGUCGAAGGUGGAAUCAAUAACUGGGGUGAAGUCGUAACAAGGUAGCCGUAUCGGAAGGUGCGGCUGGAUCACCUCCUUUCUAAGGAGA